Molecule: non-coding RNA, 221 nt
Organism: Schizosaccharomyces pombe (fission yeast)
Lineage: Eukaryota; Fungi; Ascomycota; Schizosaccharomycetes; Schizosaccharomycetales; Schizosaccharomycetaceae
Source: the annotation of a GenBank genome assembly
CGGUACGUAAAGAAACUUACGAAAUUUUUAAAAAAUUAAGGAUACGAGGAUCCAUUGAUAACUAAGAUCCAGUUGUUUGCAAGUGUAUUAUCCUUAUCAUCAGAACUGUUUUUUUUUAAUUGAUUUUGCAAAAUAAACUAUCUGUAAGAAAUGUAGAAAUGAAAAGAAUAAUGAAACCGAAAAAAAAGCAUACAUAUGACUACAGCUAUCCAAAACAAAAU